Molecule: non-coding RNA, 218 nt
Organism: Thermoactinomyces vulgaris
Lineage: Bacteria; Bacillati; Bacillota; Bacilli; Caryophanales; Thermoactinomycetaceae
Source: Rfam
AACCAGUCGGAGUCCCCUUGAGGGAUGACGGCGUGCCUUUUGUAGAAUGAACCGGCGAGUAACGGUUGCGUGCAAGGUUAAGGUGAAAAGCUGGAGCCGUAGCGAAAGCGAGUCUGAAUAGGGCGCUUGAGUACGUAGUCGUUGACCCGAAACCGGGUGAUCUACCCAUGUCCAGGAUGAAGUUCCGGUAACACGGAAUGGAGGUCCGAACCUGUUGG